GACGGCUCAUCAUGUAUAAAAUGGUGCUGAAAGGACACUAAGUUUCCACUGGUUAAAGUGAAUCUCGUAGAAAUAGUCGACACAAAACACACCACUUUUGACAAGAUCUGAGAUGAGAAUGCAGGAGGACAUCGUCACAAGUUUCCUGGAAGGGUGCUGCAGUCCAUUGGAGGCCUGUCUCCGCUCUGAUAGCAGCCCUGGAGCCCAGAUGAUUGAUGAAGGCGAGGGCAAGGCCGAGCGCUGGCAGCAUAAAGCCCCAUAGACGCAUCAAUAAAGCCUGGCUAGUGGAGGGCCUGGGCCUGCUCAAUAGCCACCGCCUACGAGGAUUCAGGCAAGCAAGCGGAGAGGGGAAGGUGCUCUGUUGUUCCCUAAUCCGUUUAGCCAUUGAGCCACCAGCCGUCUGAGGCUGGAUAAGUGCAGCGACGGAUGUGUGCGGGGGUGAAAAUAGCAGGGAGUGGAGGGCUGGAGAGGACCCGCGGGGGGAGAUAUAGUGGGACGCAUACAGUUCACACACAACUGAUUGAAGGAUAGAGGGAGAGGGAGAUGGAGAAAGAGGCUGAUGAUUACCCAGCUUCCUCCAGGGUAGAAGGGAAGGGAAGAGCCAGCCAUCAUGGGUUGGUGGGUGAGGGAAUAAUGGUUGGUUAGUGUGCAUUUAUUUCAUUGAUUGCAUACCGGACAGUACAGGUGUUUGUAGUUGCUUGAGUAUGUAACGCAUAUUAUUUAUCUUAACAUGUUAUGACAAAGUUCAGUUCUAAUCUAACUAAAAAGGCACAUACUCCUCAGGCAAUAUACUGGAGAAAACACAGAGGCAAAACAAGAGAACAUCUUGGACAAUAGUUCAAGAGUUGUUUCCCUUCUUGCACAUCUAUAAGCAAGAAUUCCAAAUAGGCACCAGCUAAUCAAAAGGCCUUUUUAAAAGUAUUACACUUGCACCAAGCAACAGGAGUCCAAUUGGUCAGCCAUUGACCCCUGCUCCACAGACCCCUACCCCACUGAAGCUUGGGGAAUCCCUGUCAUCCUAAAAAUGCAUUUGUCCAGUGUGUCCACCAUAGUGGCCAGCCAGACCUCAUGCAGGCCAUAGUAACUCCAGCGUACCACAUUCCUCAAUGGCACAAUUAGGCUACAAUCAUCUCCUACCAAGCCAGCUUUUCACUGACCCCAGGCCCAUUGCAGCUACACGGUACCCUGUAGCACGGCCUGGUUGGAGAUGGAGGGAGGGAGGAGGGAGAGUGAUGGGGUCUGUGCCCUGUGGCUCCAGUCUGCCCUAUGACACUCACUCCCAGAAGGCCUCAGAUGUUAGUAGAAUGGACAUUCCCAAUCAAAGCAAUGUCCCAUGAUAGCGGGACUAUCUGGACAUUCUAUUUUUAUGUCUCAGCUGAGCUCUCCACUGAUCCCUCUACCUCAACCAUUCUCCGACCCAUGCGAUUUCAUAAAAAGGGGCAAUUCAACCCGAAAUCCAAGUUUCUAAGAUGAUGAUCUUUCCAGUCAUUUGUGGUUGAUGUCUACAGAUUUGUCCUAAUUGAUGUUUGAUGUAGAAGGAUACAUCUGGUAUGUUUAAAAUGUUUUCAUUUGUUUAUAUCUUAGAGAGGAUGACAGUUUUGAAGAUAUGUUUUCUCAAAAAAAAUUCUAAAAACAAAUUUGUUGUGUCUGCAAUAACUACAAGUAUAUGUAGCCUAAUAAAAAUUAUUUUCAUAUAAA
Molecule: non-coding RNA, 1698 nt
Organism: Oncorhynchus mykiss (rainbow trout)
Lineage: Eukaryota; Metazoa; Chordata; Actinopteri; Salmoniformes; Salmonidae
Source: RefSeq, a predicted model, not a curated record